RNAcentral lists this ribosomal RNA (247 nucleotides) under uncultured bacterium. RNAcentral describes it as "partial 16S ribosomal RNA". It matches the Rfam family "Bacterial small subunit ribosomal RNA", at positions 524 to 769 of the family's 1533-position model. The record is from RNAcentral.
UACGAAGGGGGCUAGCGUUGCUCGGAAUCACUGGGCGUAAAGGGUGCGUAGGCGGGUCUUAAGUCAGGGGUGAAAUCCUUGGAGCUCAACUCCAGAACUGCCUUUGAUACUGAAGAUCUUGAGUUCGGGAGAGGUGAGUGGGAACUGCGAGUGUAGAGGUGAAAUUCGUAGAUAUUCGCAAGAACACCAGUGGCGAAGGCGGCUCACUGGCCCGAUACUGACGCUGAGGAGCGAAAGCGUGGGGAGC